UUUUCUAGCAUAUAGGGCUCUGCAGGCUUUUUCUUUUAGUGCAUUAACUGCCAUGCUGAAGCUUCCUGAUGCAGUAAUGAACAGACCGAGUUUGGAAAGUCAGCUACUGAGAUGCCAGAGCCAAGGACAUUUUCUUGGACCACAAGCAACAUGUUAUUGAUAUUUAUUGGCAUCAGAUGACAUGAAGACCGCAAUCAAAUGACAGACGAGGAAGCUAAAAGCAGCUGGGAUGUGCUCUGAGCUCCAUGGCAACUCUGGCGUGGCAACCUGAUUAUGAGCCGGUUAGCAUAUGCGCUGGUGCACCCCUCACAGCUGCAGAAGGGAAGAAAGUCACCUUUACAGCCUUUCACAGAUGUGGCAUUUGUGCCUAAGAUGUAGAAUGUCUAAAUAGUAAUAGUCUGAUGAGAGAAAAUGUUCCAUUAAUGUGUUUGUGUGUGUGUGUGUGUGGCACAUUAUUAACA
Molecule: long non-coding RNA, 461 nt
Organism: Alosa alosa (allis shad)
Lineage: Eukaryota; Metazoa; Chordata; Actinopteri; Clupeiformes; Clupeidae
Exons: 3
Source: RefSeq, a predicted model, not a curated record